This is a long non-coding RNA of Brassica napus (rape), 1816 nucleotides long. RefSeq lists it as uncharacterized. Lineage: Eukaryota; Viridiplantae; Streptophyta; Magnoliopsida; Brassicales; Brassicaceae. The record is from RefSeq and is a predicted model, not a curated record. The transcript has 3 exons.
UAACGAAGCUUCUUCGGCCUUCCUGGAGGGCGUCUUGUAGCAGGUGGGGACAAUCGCAUGUCGGUGAUAACUUGGGGCAAAUCAGUAUUCGAUGUAUCCGUUAUAGGGACUAUAGUUCCUUGAUAGGCAAGCCUGAGUAAACUAACGUUAUAUUCUUUGGCAACGAGAGUAUCGACGUUUAUCUUUGCUUUAAGUGCUGCAGAAAUGGCGUGGGAGCAUGGAAUAGAUAGCAUUUGAAACUCGCAGCAACUACACGUCAGAGUUUCUAGAUUGACAAUGAAACUCUGCCCUCCCUUCUUACGUAUUUCAAACUGAUUUGAGCCAAUUUGUGUUACCUCAUAUCCGCAUGUUGCCUCGAAGGUGGUUGUUACGAUUUCCAGGAUGCGUGGUGUGAGGAUAUUGUCAUUGUUGUUGGCAGAUUCCCGUCUUGUGGCACACCACAUCGUUAGCUUCCCACAAAUGAAUUCGAUGAGAGGGAUGAUCGGAUACUGUAACGACCCGAUCCCAGUCUCGGAACUUGUUAGCCAGCUAAAGUCCAAGCACUACCUAAGGACCCAAGAUAUUUGCCUAUAAAUACCUACCUCUACAUUGAUUUCUCCUUUUGCAACAAGAAAAUAAAACUCAGAAGUUAGAGAGAAGAAGAAAUGAGAGAGAGAGAGAGAGAGAGUGAGAGAAAGAAAGAUAGAAACCAAUGCAUGUUGCCACCAGAGAUCGCCGGAACCACCACACGCCAGGACAUCGUCAAGCUCGUCAUCACCAUCAACCGCAGCUUAGAAUCGCCGGAAACCGCCGCCUCUUAAGCUUUGUUUUCGUCCGUUCAGUAAAUCGGAUAUAUCUCCCUAACCGUUGAGAAUCUCGUGCAUGCAAGACCAUCAUCGUGUUCCUCUCGUCGAGACGAGUCCGUAGACACCGACCACGCCGUAAUCGGAGCUCAGACGAAGCCGUACGCGCCUCCAAAAGUUACGCCGACUGCGCGCGUUUCUUCCACGCGCCGCCGCCGGAUAUCGCCUCCGCCGUCUUCCGCCACCGUCCUCCGCCGCAUCUCCGUCGCUGCCAGAAGUCGCCUCCGCCGCAGCUCCGCCGCCGCCGGGAAUCGCCUCCGCCGUUGCCGCCGGCGAACUUUCCGAUAUGGAGUCUAUUUGAGCAGCUGGAGUUCAUAAACACUACUUUUCUAUUGCUAAGGUGAGACAAAUAAGUAUGUGAUAUUUGGACGGACUUGGUGCUACUGGACUUUUCCUACAGAUUUUUAUUUGGGUUUUGGGUGAGCGUUAUUGAGUUUAUGGGCUUUUAUAUUAUGGGAUAUUGUUGGUGGCCCGUCGUCCUUAGUGAGAAGGAGACGGAUGUCACAUUGUUGUAUGAUGACGCGUCGGGGGUGACACGCUGUCCUCCAGAUAGGAGGUGACGGGUGUCGCAAUUUUGGUAUCAGAGCCAGGUUCCAUCCCGGUUCCGUCCGGGAUGGCGGUCAGGGGAUUCGGUUUCCAUCGGUUUUCAAUGUUCUUUAAAAAAAAAAAAAAAUAUAUAUAUUUAUAUAUUUGGAAAAUUCUUUUAGCACCAUUCUGUCCAGUGAUUACUAACUCAAAUGUCUCUUUCUAUGACGAUGAGUAAAAACAUCGUCAUUCGUCCUUCGACUAACAGGGUUCUCGCCAGAUGUUCAGCAGUUGGGCGAUGUUUAAGUUCGUCAGUUUUCUCGGGAGUUAUCAGUUUCUUCGGUCAUGAUUUCGAGGUUAUCCAGGAGUGGAUAUGUGACGUUUCUGCCACCAGCCCACUUCAAGCAAUCGUUCCACGAGUUUUGUUACUGGAGAUUAUGUGGUGUGUG